This 253-nucleotide ribosomal RNA is filed under the name uncultured bacterium. RNAcentral's name for it is "partial 16S ribosomal RNA". It matches the Rfam family "Bacterial small subunit ribosomal RNA", at positions 524 to 776 of the family's 1533-position model. The record is from RNAcentral.
UACAGAGGUCUCAACCGUUGUUCGGAAUUACUGGGCGUAAAGCGCGUGUAGGCGGCCCUGCAAGUCGGAUGUGAAAUCCCACGGCUCAACCGUGGAAGUGCAUUCGAAACUGCAGGGCUAGAGUCCUGGAGAGGAAGGUGGAAUGCUUGGUGUAGAGGUGAAAUUCGUAGAUAUCAAGCGGAACACCGGUGGCGAAGGCGGCCUUCUGGACAGUGACUGACGCUGAGACGCGAAGGCGUGGGGAGCAAACAGG